Molecule: ribosomal RNA, 484 nt
Filed under: uncultured bacterium
Lineage: Bacteria
Description: partial 16S ribosomal RNA
Rfam family: Bacterial small subunit ribosomal RNA
Source: RNAcentral
AUUGAACGCUGGCGGCAGGCCUAACACAUGCAAGUCGAGCGGAUGAAGGGAGCUUGCUCCUGGAUUCAGCGGCGGACGGGUGAGUAAUGCCUAGGAAUCUGCCUGGUAGUGGGGGAUAACGUCCGGAAACGGGCGCUAAUACCGCAUACGUCCUGAGGGAGAAAGUGGGGGAUCUUCGGACCUCACGCUAUCAGAUGAGCCUAGGUCGGAUUAGCUAGUUGGUGGGGUAAAGGCCUACCAAGGCGACGAUCCGUAACUGGUCUGAGAGGAUGAUCAGUCACACUGGAACUGAGACACGGUCCAGACUCCUACGGGAGGCAGCAGUGGGGAAUAUUGGACAAUGGGCGAAAGCCUGAUCCAGCCAUGCCACGUGUGUGAAGAAGGUCUUCGGAUUGUAAAGCACUUUAAGUUGGGAGGAAGGGCAGUAAGUUAAUACCUUGCUGUUUUGACGUUACCAAAAGAAUAAGCACCGGCUAACUUCGUG